Molecule: ribosomal RNA, 164 nt
Filed under: Muhlenbergia cenchroides
Lineage: Eukaryota; Viridiplantae; Streptophyta; Magnoliopsida; Poales; Poaceae
Also listed under: 31 other names
Description: 5.8S ribosomal RNA
Rfam family: 5.8S ribosomal RNA
About the family: 5.8S ribosomal RNA (5.8S rRNA) is a component of the large subunit of the eukaryotic ribosome. It is transcribed by RNA polymerase I as part of the 45S precursor that also contains 18S and 28S rRNA.
Source: RNAcentral
CACAUGACUCUCGGCAACGGAUAUCUCGGCUCUCGCAUCGAUGAAGAACGUAGCAAAAUGCGAUACCUGGUGUGAAUUGCAGAAUCCCGUGAACCAUCGAGUUUUUGAACGCAAGUUGCGCCCGAGGCCUUCUGGUUGAGGGCACGUCUGCCUGGGCGUCACGC